This is a non-coding RNA of Kalaharituber pfeilii, 104 nucleotides long. The record is from the annotation of a GenBank genome assembly. NCBI's taxonomy places the organism in Eukaryota, Fungi, Ascomycota, Pezizomycetes, Pezizales, Pezizaceae.
GGUCUUAUGGCGCAAUUGGUUAGCGCGUCCGGCUGUUAUAGUGUUGUCAUCUGACAAGGCAAUAAGGCACCGGGAGGUCGGAAGUUCGAGCCUUCCUAGGACCG